Molecule: long non-coding RNA, 342 nt
Filed under: Homo sapiens (human)
Lineage: Eukaryota; Metazoa; Chordata; Mammalia; Primates; Hominidae
Description: HSALNT0312791
Source: RNAcentral
CCUCCACCUAAAUAUCCUUUACCUUCUACACAAAUUAUUCUACGAGGUGUAAUGCACCUCCAGAUUGAAAAGUUUUAAGUUAAAAGCUUCCUCAUCUACAAAACUGAGAAGUCCUAAAGAGCACUUUAUUCUGAGGGUUAAAGCGAUGAUAAGAGGAACUGAAAGACAGUAGAUAUUAAGUGCUAGUACCUCUUCCUGAGAUAUCCCUAGCAACUUGAAUUCAGUAGCAUUAUGGGGAAAAACUGACCAUCAAACACACACGCACUUCUGCAACACCACUGAUGUAAGAAAGGGUAAGUCAAAAUGCCAUCUGGCAUCCUGGAAGAAUUGACAUUGAUCAAC